The sequence is a ribosomal RNA, 1125 nucleotides long. It matches the Rfam family "Eukaryotic large subunit ribosomal RNA", at positions 1 to 1012 of the family's 3401-position model.
GGACUCGUUCUCAAAUCAGGUGAGACUACCCGCUGAACUUAAGCAUAUCACUAAGCGGAGGAAAAGAAACUAACGAGGAUUCCCCUAGUAACGGCGAGUGAACCGGGAAGAGCUCAAGCCGAAAAUCUUUGCUGGCUUCCAUCAAAGAAUUGUAGUCUAUAGGUGGGUACUUGUGCAGCCCGGGUAUAAGUCCUGUCUUGGAACUGGGUGCCAGAGAGGGUUAGAGCCCCGUCUUUGACUCGGUUGAGCUGUGCGUGAAAGUGCCUUGCCGGAGAGUCGGUUUGCUUGGGAAUGCAGGCCAAAGAGGGUGGUAAACUUCAUCUAAAGCUAAAUACUGGCGAGAGACCGAUAGCGAACAAGUACUGUGAAGGAAAGAUGGAAAGAACUUUGAAAAGAGAGUGAAAAAGGGCUUGAAAUUGUUAAGAGGACAAGUGAUUGGAGCAUAUCAUACAUGGCGGGAUCCUGGAGACGGGGCAAGCGCCCUGAAUUUUACCAUCCCGGCACGUUGGUCAGCAUCGAUUCUGUGUGGGGGAGAAAGCGGAGCCGUUGGGAGUACCUCGGUACAAUCUCGGCAGCCAUUUGCAGAAACCCUGGACGGGAUCGAGGCAGUGAAGCCCACGCUUGGCGGCCGGCCCCUUGCUCGGGCGGCGUGUGGAUUGCGCACCCUUUUAGGCGUGCGUGUGUGCACGCUGCGUGAAGCCGGGGAGCGCUGGACCUGUGGGCUGAAGAUGCUGGCACAAAUGGCUUCCAUCAGCCCGUCUUGAAACACGGACCAAGGAGUCUAACACGUAUGCGAGUAGUAAGGUGGCAAACCUUGGAUGCGCAAUGAAAGUAAACGUAGGUGGGAUCCGCAAGGUGCACCAUCGACCGACCAGGAGCCAGCCAGCAAUGGCUGCAAAAGGUUUGAGUAAGAGCAUAUUUGUUGGGACCCGAAAGAUGGUGAACUAUGCCUGAAUAGGGUGAAGCCAGAGGAAACUCUGGUGGAGGCUCGUAGCGGUACUGACGUGCAAAUCGUUCGUCAAAUUUGGGUAUAGGGGCGAAAGACUAAUCGAACCAUCUAGUAGCUGGUUCCCUCCGAAGUUUCCCUCAGGAUAGCUGGAGCUCACACAAGUUUUAUCAGGUAAA